This 434-nucleotide ribosomal RNA is filed under the name uncultured Ruminococcus sp. RNAcentral's name for it is "partial 16S ribosomal RNA". It matches the Rfam family "Bacterial small subunit ribosomal RNA", at positions 341 to 792 of the family's 1533-position model. Lineage: Bacteria; Bacillati; Bacillota; Clostridia; Eubacteriales; Oscillospiraceae. The record is from RNAcentral.
ACGGAAGGCAGCAGUGGGGAAUAUUGCACAGUGGGCGGAAGCCUGAUGCAGCGAUGCCGCGUGGAGGAAGAAGGUUUUCGGAUUGUAAACUCCUUUUAUCAGGGACGAUAAUGACGGUACCUGAAGAAAAAGCUCCGGCUAACUACGUGCCAGCAGCCGCGGUAAUACGUAGGGAGCGAGCGUUGUCCGGAAUUACUGGGUGUAAAGGGUGCGUAGGCGGAGAUGCAAGUCAGAUGUGAAAUGUAUGGGCUCAACCCAUGAACUGCAUUUGAAACUGCAACUCUUGAGUGAGGUAGAGGUAAGCGGAAUUCCUAGUGUAGCGGUGAAAUGCGUAGAUAUUAGGAGGAACACCAGUGGCGAAGGCGGAUUGCUGGACGACAACUGACGGUGAGGCGCGAAAGCGUGGGGAGCAAACAGGAUUAGAUACCCUGGUA